CCUACGGGAGGCAGCAGUGAGGAAUAUUGGUCAAUGGCCGAGAGGCUGAACCAGCCAAGUCGCGUGAGGGAAGACGGCCCUACGGGUUGUAAACCUCUUUUGUCGGGGAGCAAAGAGAGUCACGUGUGACUCAUUGAGAGUACCCGAAGAAAAAGCAUCGGCUAACUCCGUGCCAGCAGCCGCGGUAAUACGGAGGAUGCGAGCGUUAUCCGGAUUUAUUGGGUUAAAAGGGUGCGCAGGCGGAGGUGCAAGUCAGCGGUAAAAUUGCGGGGCUCAACCCCGUACUGCCGUUGAAACUGCAUCCCUUGAGUGCGCGAGAAGUAUGCGGAAUGCGUGGUGUAGCGGUGAAAUGCAUAGAUAUCACGCAGAACUCCGAUGGCGAAGGCAGCAUACCGGCGCUCAACUGACGCUGAGGCACGAAAGCGUGGGGAUCGAACAGGAUUAGAUACCCGAGUAGUC
Molecule: ribosomal RNA, 459 nt
Filed under: uncultured bacterium
Lineage: Bacteria
Description: partial 16S ribosomal RNA
Rfam family: Bacterial small subunit ribosomal RNA
Source: RNAcentral